Molecule: ribosomal RNA, 435 nt
Filed under: uncultured bacterium
Lineage: Bacteria
Description: partial 16S ribosomal RNA
Rfam family: Bacterial small subunit ribosomal RNA
Source: RNAcentral
GAUGAGCGCUGGCGGUAUGCUUAACACAUGCAAGUCGAACGGACUCUUCGGAGUUAGUGGCGGACGGGUGAGUAACGCGUGAGAAUCUGGCUUUGGGUUCGGGACAACCACUGGAAACGGUGGCUAAUACCGGAUGUGCCGAGAGGUAAAAGAGAAAUUGCCUGAAGAUGAGCUCGCGUCUGAUUAGCUAGUUGGUGAGGUAAAGGCUCACCAAGGCAGCGAUCAGUAGCUGGUCUGAGAGGAUGACCAGCCACACUGGGACUGAGACACGGCCCAGACUCCUACGGGAGGCAGCAGUGGGGAAUUUUCCGCAAUGGGCGAAAGCCUGACGGAGCAAUACCGCGUGAGGGAAGAAGGCUCCUGGGUUGUAAACCUCUUUUCUUAGGGAAGAACAAAAUGACGGUACCUAAGGAAUCAGCAUCGGCUAACUCCGUG